Molecule: ribosomal RNA, 229 nt
Filed under: uncultured bacterium
Lineage: Bacteria
Description: partial 16S ribosomal RNA
Rfam family: Bacterial small subunit ribosomal RNA
Source: RNAcentral
UGCGCAGGCGGGCUUGUAAGUCAGUGGUGAAAUUCUGCCGCUUAACGGUAGAACUGCCAUUGAUACUGCGAGUCUUGAAUAUGGUUGAGGUAGGCGGAAUGUGUUGUGUAGCGGUGAAAUGCAUAGAUAUGACACAGAACGCCAAUUGCGAAGGCGGCUUACUAAGCCAUUAUUGACGCUGAGGCACGAAAGCGUGGGGAGCGAACAGGAUUAGAUACCCUGGUAGUCC